CGGGCAGUCUUGCACGACCAGCUCCCUCGGAAUCCUCCAGGAUGGGAACAUAGCAAAGGUACUUGGUUGUAGCGGUGCGAUGUAAGUAGCUGCCCACCC
This 99-nucleotide signal recognition particle RNA is filed under the name Prevotella sp. RNAcentral describes it as "signal recognition particle sRNA small type". It matches the Rfam family "Bacteroidales small SRP". Rfam says of the family: The non-coding component of the signal recognition particle in Bacteroides Lineage: Bacteria; Pseudomonadati; Bacteroidota; Bacteroidia; Bacteroidales; Prevotellaceae. The record is from RNAcentral.